This 409-nucleotide ribosomal RNA is filed under the name uncultured bacterium. Its description in RNAcentral is "bacterial SSU rRNA". It matches the Rfam family "Bacterial small subunit ribosomal RNA", at positions 355 to 776 of the family's 1533-position model. The record is from RNAcentral.
UGGGGAAUAUUGGGCAAUGGAGGAAACUCUGACCCAGCGACGCCGCGUGCGGGAUGAAGGCCUUCGGGUUGUAAACCGCUUUCAGCAAGGAAGAAGCGAAAGUGACGGUACUUGCAGAAGAAGCACCGGCUAACUAUGUGCCAGCAGCCGCGGUAAUACAUAGGGUGCAAGCGUUGUCCGGAAUUAUUGGGCGUAAAGAGCUCGUAGGUGGUUCGUCACGUCGGAUGUGAAAAUCUGGGGCUUAACCCCAGACCUGCAUUCGAUACGGGCGAGCUAGAGUGUGGUAGGGGAGACUGGAAUUCCUGGUGUAGCGGUGGAAUGCGCAGAUAUCAGGAGGAACACCAAUGGCGAAGGCAGGUCUCUGGGCCAUUACUGACGCUCAUGCACGAAAGCGUGGGGAGCAAACAGG